This 1280-nucleotide long non-coding RNA is filed under the name Hordeum vulgare. RNAcentral's name for it is "long non-coding RNA (HVUL_LNC008723)". Lineage: Eukaryota; Viridiplantae; Streptophyta; Magnoliopsida; Poales; Poaceae. The record is from RNAcentral.
GGCUUUCUUGGAAACAUGUAAAACAAACGCUCGUAACCAUUCAUAUCCUGUUUGACACUCUACCCUAUUUGUUCGAUUCGUUUUAGUGCUUCUAGUCGUCGUUAGAUAGUCUAUAUAUCUAAAUAUAUUUUUUGUUACUUAUGUAUUCAUUGUACUGCAUUUAUUAAAAGCAUCUACAACUAGAUCCUUCAAACCAGCCUUAAAGUCCGGACAGUCCGGUCACUCGUCGGUCAUAAAAAAAUCGUUCAGUCAUCUCAAACAUUUGAACUGACCGACACCUCCAUAUCUAUCUUAAAUAUGAAGAUGAUACGAGAGCUCGCCAACGUAUGGUUGGUUGCCUCUUUCGCAUAACAGAGCCCUGGGGUCAUGGGCCCGGCCAGCCGUGGUGCUAGGGAGGCCAACCCAAUUUAAGUUGAAGUUUGCGGCACAUGCGCACAUGCAUACGCUUGGCACGCUCCUAGGCCAGGAACAUGAUAAUGAUACGCAUGUACGCUCCCAAAAUUGGAGUACUCCUACUAGACUAAACGUACAUGCAUGCAUUGAUCUCAUUGAUCCCGAUCGCCCUCGAUGGUUGAUGAUUUGCCAUCUCUACAUGCACGCACGCGGCUGCUUUCGGCUCGAUGAUUCGCCAGCCACAUGCCUGUACCUAGUACAGUAUAUACCACAUGUAACUGCAUGCUGCCGGCUCUUCGUAUAAUUGCAUGCACCGUGUAUCGUCCUGACCCGUCAUAUAAACAUAUAACUUAUCGUACAUCUAUAUAUGGAUCAGUGUACGUACGUGCUAGCUAGCCGUGGUCAGCACAUAUGGUUACCUAAUGCAGCUAGUCCUUAACGUAGAUAGUGCAUGCAUGGGAGAUAUGGUGUACCGAAUCUAGAUUGAAAAACCAGGAGAUCAUUCGUCAGAAGUAGGAAAGGGCGAUCGGGAUUAGCUCACCGUACGUACGUACGUACGUACAGGUAGCAGUGCUACUUACGUUGUUGUGCGCGCGCAUGCACCACGCCGUCCAGGUCCAGCAGCACGUUAACGCCGAGCAGCGAGAGCAAAACAGUGAAAGCAAAAGUGACACACAUGCAGCCGCACAUGGAAAGCAGAAAGGAUGACCAUCGGAGGAAUGACACCGACACCACAUGCAUGGAGAAGCAAGGCGUACGCCUUACACAUGCAUGCCCGGGUUACUGUAGGGAGGAACGGCCCAUGCCAUGUCAUGUCACGUCAAAACCUGGACCGGAGCUUCCAUGGAUCUAUGUCCAUCAUGCUACUACAAUCCAAAACUACUUCC